AGCUCUCCGCCGGCUCCUCAAGUUACCCCUCCAAAACCUGGCAAGAUGGAGCUCUGGCCAGGGCCGGGGGGAAGCUGGAGUCGCCUCAGACGAGGAAACGGAAGCUCAGAGAAGAGAAAUGAGUUGGCCAAGCUCACCCAGUGGUACUGGAGGUCCCAGCUGGAAGCAGGGCCUCGGAGGCCCCGAGUCCCAGCUGCCCCACCCCUGAGACUGAUAAGGAGUCUUCUUCCUGGCAAGCCGUUAGCUGGAAGUGCUCCGGGCAGGGAGCCAGGCCUGGGGCUGGGAAUCCCCGCAGCCUGUCUGAAUGGGGGUCGCCCACAGAGGGCUGCCCAAGGCCCCUUCCAGCACCCCGGUCUGUCUCUCCUUGUCAAGUGGACCAGCCUCACCCCUCUCUUCUGCUAAUCUGGGAGCCAGGCUUGCUGGAGAGACUGAGGAGAGAUUAAAUGAGGGACAGAUUUGCUUGCAGGACACACGUGUGCUUAUUACAGCCUGGGCCCUGGCGCUGGCCCUCAGAAGGCGGAGUGGCCUGGAGGAGCGUCUCAUGUGGGGAUAUUAUCUUAUCCAAAGUGCACCCCAGGGACCUACAUUUAUUUCCUGCUGCUGAUAACUCCACAAGAGCCAGUCAGCCAGCCGGCGGGGUCAGCACGCCUUUCGCCAGCUCUAAACUGCAU
Long non-coding RNA from Sapajus apella (tufted capuchin), 671 nucleotides. RefSeq lists it as uncharacterized. Lineage: Eukaryota; Metazoa; Chordata; Mammalia; Primates; Cebidae. The record is from RefSeq and is a predicted model, not a curated record. The transcript is spliced from 3 exons.